AAAUUGAAGAGUUUGAUCAUGGCUCAGAUUGAACGCUGGCGGCAGGCCUAACACAUGCAAGUCGAACGGUAACAGGAAGCAGCUUGCUGCUUUGCUGACGAGUGGCGGACGGGUGAGUAAUGUCUGGGAAACUGCCUGAUGGAGGGGGAUAACUACUGGAAACGGUGGCUAAUACCGCAUAACGUCGCAAGACCAAAGAGGGGGACCUUCGGGCCUCUUGCCAUCAGAUGUGCCCAGAUGGGAUUAGCUAGUUGGUGAGGUAACGGCUCACCAAGGCGACGAUCCCUAGCUGGUCUGAGAGGAUGACCAGCCACACUGGAACUGAGACACGGUCCAGACUCCUACGGGAGGCAGCAGUGGGGAAUAUUGCACAAUGGGCGCAAGCCUGAUGCAGCCAUGCCGCGUGUAUGAAGAAGGCCUUAGGGUUGUAAAGUACUUUCAGCGGGGAGGAAGGUGUUGUGGUUAAUAACCGCAGCAAUUGACGUUACCCGCAGAAGAAGCACCGGCUAACUCCGUGCCAGCAGCCGCGGUAAUACGGAGGGUGCAAGCGUUAAUCGGAAUUACUGGGCGUAAAGCGCACGCAGGCGGUCUGUCAAGUCGGAUGUGAAAUCCCCGGGCUCAACCUGGGAACUGCAUUCGAAACUGGCAGGCUUGAGUCUUGUAGAGGGGGGUAGAAUUCCAGGUGUAGCGGUGAAAUGCGUAGAGAUCUGGAGGAAUACCGGUGGCGAAGGCGGCCCCCUGGACAAAGACUGACGCUCAGGUGCGAAAGCGUGGGGAGCAAACAGGAUUAGAUACCCUGGUAGUCCACGCCGUAAACGAUGUCUACUUGGAGGUUGUGCCCUUGAGGCGUGGCUUCCGGAGCUAACGCGUUAAGUAGACCGCCUGGGGAGUACGGCCGCAAGGUUAAAACUCAAAUGAAUUGACGGGGGCCCGCACAAGCGGUGGAGCAUGUGGUUUAAUUCGAUGCAACGCGAAGAACCUUACCUGGUCUUGACAUCCACAGAACUUUCCAGAGAUGGAUUGGUGCCUUCGGGAACUGUGAGACAGGUGCUGCAUGGCUGUCGUCAGCUCGUGUUGUGAAAUGUUGGGUUAAGUCCCGCAACGAGCGCAACCCUUAUCCUUUGUUGCCAGCGAUUAGGUCGGGAACUCAAAGGAGACUGCCAGUGAUAAACUGGAGGAAGGUGGGGAUGACGUCAAGUCAUCAUGGCCCUUACGACCAGGGCUACACACGUGCUACAAUGGCGCAUACAAAGAGAAGCGACCUCGCGAGAGCAAGCGGACCUCAUAAAGUGCGUCGUAGUCCGGAUUGGAGUCUGCAACUCGACUCCAUGAAGUCGGAAUCGCUAGUAAUCGUGGAUCAGAAUGCCACGGUGAAUACGUUCCCGGGCCUUGUACACACCGCCCGUCACACCAUGGGAGUGGGUUGCAAAAGAAGUAGGUAGCUUAACCUUCGGGAGGGCGCUUACCACUUUGUGAUUCAUGACUGGGGUGAAGUCGUAACAAGGUAACCGUAGGGGAACCUGCGGUUGGAUCACCUCCUUACCUUAAAGAAGC
Molecule: ribosomal RNA, 1554 nt
Filed under: Salmonella enterica subsp. enterica serovar Typhimurium
Lineage: Bacteria; Pseudomonadati; Pseudomonadota; Gammaproteobacteria; Enterobacterales; Enterobacteriaceae
Description: bacterial SSU rRNA
Rfam family: Bacterial small subunit ribosomal RNA
Source: RNAcentral